Molecule: ribosomal RNA, 467 nt
Filed under: uncultured bacterium
Lineage: Bacteria
Description: partial 16S ribosomal RNA
Rfam family: Bacterial small subunit ribosomal RNA
Source: RNAcentral
GACGAACGCUGGCGGCGUGCUUAACACAUGCAAGUCGAACGAUGACGACCGAGCUUGCUCGGUCUGAUUAGUGGCGAACGGGUGAGUAACACGUGAGCAACCUGCCCUUCACUCUGGGAUAACCUCGGGAAAUCGGGGCUAAUACCGGAUAUGAGCUCCUGUCGCAUGGCGGGUGUUGGAAAGUUUUUCGGUGAAGGAUGGGCUCGCGGCCUAUCAGUUUGUUGGUGAGGUAGUGGCUCACCAAGGCGAUGACGGGUAGCCGGCCUGAGGGGGCGACCGGCCACACUGGGACUGAGACACGGCCCAGACUCCUACGGGAGGCAGCAGUGGGGAAUAUUGCACAAUGGGCGAAAGCCUGAUGCAGCGACGCCGCGUGAGGGAUGACGGCCUUCGGGUUGUAAACCUCUUUCAGCAGGGAAGAAGCGAAAGUGACGGUACCUGCAGAAGAAGCGCCGGCUAACUACGUG